RNAcentral lists this ribosomal RNA (449 nucleotides) under uncultured bacterium. RNAcentral's name for it is "partial 16S ribosomal RNA". It matches the Rfam family "Bacterial small subunit ribosomal RNA", at positions 29 to 523 of the family's 1533-position model. The record is from RNAcentral.
UACGAACGCUGGCGGCAUGCCUAACACAUGCAAGUCGAACGAGACCUUCGGGUCUAGUGGCGCACGGGUGCGUAACGCGUGGGAAUCUGCCCUUGGGUUCGGGAUAACAGUUGGAAACGACUGCUAAUACCGGAUGAUGACUUCGGUCCAAAGAUUUAUCGCCCAGGGAUGAGCCCGCGUCGGAUUAGCUUGUUGGUGAGGUAAAGGCUCACCAAGGCGACGAUCCGUAGCUGGUCUGAGAGGAUGAUCAGCCACACUGGGACUGAGACACGGCCCAGACUCCUACGGGAGGCAGCAGUGGGGAAUAUUGGACAAUGGGCGAAAGCCUGAUCCAGCAAUGCCGCGUGAGUGAUGAAGGCCUUAGGGUUGUAAAGCUCUUUUACCCGGGAAGAUAAUGACUGUACCGGGAGAAUAAGCCCCGGCUAACUCCGUGCCAGCAGCCGCCGCCG